AUGCUUCGUAGCAGGGGGCUCAGAGGACCCCGGCACCCCGGGCGAGAUCACUGCUUGCUGGAAGUCUCCGGGGCUGCUGACUUCUCUCCUAACUCCCAGCUCUCCUCUUGCUGCUCUGAGCAAGUCUGGGCUGGGAAGCCCGUCCAUGCCCCCCUGACCCCAUGCUCUCUGCUGCAGGCUGGCUUCUGCCUGGGCACCGCUCUGCACUCUUGGGGGCUGUGGUUCACGGAGGAAGGUUCACCGUCCACCAUGGUAAUUACCUCACACUUCCCUGGGGCCAGACCUGGAUGGGCCGUGGCCUUUUUCACCCCUCCCUGCUCCCAUCCCCUGGCUCAUUCCUGCCCAGCCUGUGGUUGGGGUGGGGGCAGGCUUAGGGCUAGGGUUAGUUUUGUGGCCUUGCUGAUGGGCACCAUGUCUCCACUCUUGGCCAGCUGGCGGGGAUUGCGGUUGGAGCCCUUCUGGCCCUGGUCUUGGCUGGUGUUCUCAUCCUUUUCACGUUCAGAAGGCUUAGCCCAUUUCGACAAGCACAGCCCACUCCUCAGUACCGGUUCCGAAAGAGAGACAAAGUGAUGUUUUACGGCCGGAAGAUCAUGAGGAAGGUGACCACGCUCCCCAACACCCUGGUGGAGAACACUGCGCUGCCCCGGCAGCGGGCCAGGAAGAGGACCAAGGUGCUGUCUUUGGCCAAGAGGAUUCUGCGUUUCAAGAAGGAAUACCCGGCCCUGCAGCCCAAGGAGCCCCCGCCCUCCCUGCUGGAGGCCGACCUCACGGAGUUUGACGUGAAGAAUUCUCACCUACCAUCGGAAGUUCUGUACAUGCUGAAAAAUGUUCGGGUCCUGGGCCACUUUGAGAAGCCGCUGUUCCUGGAGCUUUGCAAACACAUCGUCUUUGUGCAGCUGCAGGAGGGAGAGCACAUCUUCCGGCCCGGGGCGCCAGACCCCAGCAUCUGUGUGGUGCAGGACGGGCGGCUGGAGGUCUGCAUCCAGGACGCUGAUGGCACCGAGGUGGUGGUGAAAGAGGUUCUGGCGGGAGACAGCGUCCACAGCCUGCUCAGCAUCCUGGACAUCAUCACCGUGAGUCCCCGCUGCCUGGCCCUCAGAGCGCCCCUGGGUCAGCCCAAGAGGCCUGGUUUUCUCUGUCUUGCCUGGACAGCUGGCAGUGGUUAAAGGCCAGUUCUCUACAGUGACGUGAGGGGAGUGGGGUUUGGUCCAGGACGGAGGGAGGAAGGAGGAGGGAGC
This 1238-nucleotide long non-coding RNA is filed under the name Piliocolobus tephrosceles (Ugandan red Colobus). Its description in RNAcentral is "lncRNA (ENSPTEG00000019749.1)". Lineage: Eukaryota; Metazoa; Chordata; Mammalia; Primates; Cercopithecidae. The record is from RNAcentral.